This 396-nucleotide ribosomal RNA is filed under the name uncultured bacterium. RNAcentral's name for it is "partial 16S ribosomal RNA". It matches the Rfam family "Bacterial small subunit ribosomal RNA", at positions 523 to 918 of the family's 1533-position model. The record is from RNAcentral.
AUACGUAGGUGGCAAGCGUUGUCCGGAAUUAUUGGGCGUAAAGCGCAUGUAGGCGGCUUGGUAAGUCGGUCGUGAAAAUGCGGUGCUUGACGCCGUAUGGCGAUUGAAACUGCUGACCUUGAGUGCAGGAGAGGAAAGGGGAACUCCCAGUGUAGCGGUGAAAUGCGUAGAUAUUGGGAAGAACACCGGUGGCGAAGGCGCCUUUCUGGACUGUGUCUGACGCUCAGAUGCGAAAGCCAGGGUAGCGAACGGGAUUAGAUACCCCGGUAGUCCUGGCCGUAAACGAUGGGUACUAGGUGUGGGAGGUAUCGACUCCUUCCGUGCCGGAGUUAACGCAAUAAGUACCCCGCCUGGGGAGUACGGCCGCAAGGCUUAAACUCAAAUGAAUUGACGGGG